RNAcentral lists this ribosomal RNA (868 nucleotides) under uncultured archaeon. RNAcentral describes it as "bacterial SSU rRNA". It matches the Rfam family "Archaeal small subunit ribosomal RNA", at positions 1 to 878 of the family's 1478-position model. The record is from RNAcentral.
CUCCGGUUGAUCCUGCCGGACCCGACUGCUAUCAGAGUGGGACUAAGCCAUGCGAGUCAACAUAGCAAUAUGUGGCAUACGGCUCAGUAACACGUAGUCAACAUGCCCAGGGGACGUGGAUAACCUCGGGAAACUGAGGAUAAACCGCGAUAGGUCAUCACUUCUGGAAUGGGUAAUGACUUAAAUCUAUAUGGCCCCUGGAUUGGACUGCGGCCGAUCAGGCUGUUGGUGAGGUAAUGGCCCACCAAACCUGUAACCGGUACGGGCUCUGAGAGGAGGAGCCCGGAGAUGGGCACUGAGACAAGGGCCCAGGCCCUAUGGGGCGCAGCAGGCGCGAAACCUCUGCAAUAGGCGAAAGCUUGACAGGGUUACUCUGAGUGAUUUCCGUUAAGGAGAUCUUUUGGCACCUCUAAAAAUGGUGCAGAAUAAGGGGUGGGCAAGUCUGGUGUCAGCCGCCGCGGUAAUACCAGCACCCCGAGUGGUCGGGACGUUUAUUGGGCCUAAAGCAUCCGUAGCCGGUUCUACAAGUCUUCCGUUAAAUCCACCUGCUUAACAGAUGGGCUGCGGAAGAUACUAUAGAGCUAGGAGGCGGGAGAGGCAAGCGGUACUCGAUGGGUAGGGGUAAAAUCCGUUGAUCCAUUGAAGACCACCAGUGGCGAAGGCGGCUUGCCAGAACGCGCUCGACGGUGAGGGAUGAAAGCUGGGGGAGCAAACCGGAUUAGAUACCCGGGUAGUCCCAGCUGUAAACGAUGCAGACUCGGUGAUGAGUUGGCUUAUUGCUAACUCAGUGCCGCAGGGAAGCCGUUAAGUUUGCCGCCUGGGGACUACGGUCGCAAGACUGAAACUUAAAGGAAUUGGCGGGGGACCA